RNA transcript from Cuculus canorus (common cuckoo), 10086 nucleotides. It is a transcript of the gene named ribosomal RNA processing 15 homolog, with no coding region annotated. The record is from RefSeq and is a predicted model, not a curated record. The transcript has 6 exons. Lineage: Eukaryota; Metazoa; Chordata; Aves; Cuculiformes; Cuculidae.
CCGGGCCGGAAGGCGACACCGAACGGACCAUGGGGAAGAUGGAGGGCGCCGCGACGGGCUCACGUGGGCGCGGGGCUGCGGGGGACGAGGAGGCAGACAGCGAAUCUGAGUUAAGCUCAGGACUUCCAGAAGACAGCUACUCUUCAGGAGGCGAAGCCCUGGAUGGUGAUGAUGAAGAUGAAAUGGCAGACGUUGGCAAUGUGGUUGAGGAAGCAAAAAUCUCCAAAGCCGGCCCAAGUGCAGGCUGGGCAGAUGCCAUGGCAAAAGUGCUCAACAAAAAGAUUCCACAAAAUAAGUCCACCAUCUUGGCAAAGAAUAGAAAACUGGAGAAGGAGAGAGAAAAGGAAAAACAGGAAAGGCUGGAGAAGAGGAUGAAGCUCGAUAAAAAGCGGGAGUGGGAAAUGAUGUGCCGAGUGAAGCCAGAUGUUGUCAAAGACCGAGACAGUGAAAGAAAUCUUCAGAGAAUUGCCACGAGGGGUGUUGUACAAUUAUUUAAUGCUGUCAGGACUCACCAAAAGAACAUUGAUGAGAAGGUGAAGAAAGGUGGGAGCUCUGACAGGCAGCGUAGUAAACUGCUGUCAUCUGUUUCAAAGAAAGAUUUCAUCAGUGUUUUAAGAAACAUGGAUGGUGCUAAAGGAAGCAAGAAUGCUGCUGGAGAGGCCACAAAAAGUAAUCAGGGUGAAGUGAAGUCUGAGGAGGGGCCAGGAUGGAAUAUACUGCGUGAUGACUUCAUGAUGGGAGCAUCUAUGAAAGACUGGGACAAGGAAAGUGAUGGAGAGGGCAAUAUUGAACAAGGAGGUCAUCUCAAACAAGAAGAUGACAGCGACUGAAUGAAAAUGAUUCAAGAUAAUGUUUUAUCUUCUUAACUUUGUUUGGAUAAAAAGGCAGCAUUCUGUGAAUGUACAACACUUGGAUAUCUCCUUUUUUUUAAAAAAAAAAAUGAAAAAACAAAAACCAAACUUGCACAACUUUGGAGUGUUUUCUCCUCCAUGUCAAACUUUUAUUUAAUAUAGCUUCAUUUGCUAUACUGAAAUCCUGAAAUAUUUUCCAAAACAUGUUUAAUUUUCAACAUAUUUCCAAAACAUUUUGUACAGUCAAAAUAGUGGCACCUGCCCAAUGAAAGAAAGAUUUUGCCAAGGUCAUUAAAAGUUUAUACAUUAGUCAUGGCAAUUGAUGUAUUAGUGUGCCUGCCUUUCCAAAUCAGUGUUGCACUUUGAAAAGUUGUUAGCAAUUCGCAAUAGAAAUGGCUUCUAAUAAACACAAAAAUGCCAUCACCUUGUAAAGUUAUCGAACUCCUACAGAGUCUUUACUACUUUGGCCAGGAAAGGUUUUGUAGAUAAUAAAGAAAAGUAACCAUGAAUGUGAUAGUUCUGGUCUUGGAGCGUUAGUUUGAUUGGAGACAACUCUGGAAACAUAAUUGUAAAAAGAGAGACUUGACCCUACUGAUUGGCUUUUAUAUUUAUAUAUGUAUGUUUUUCCAUUGCAAGUCUGAAGUUGUAUAAGCUAAGAGACUGGUAGGAGAGGAAAGGACAAUCCUUGCUAUUGUUUCUCUUGGAGGGGGCAGGGCUUUUUUAGCAAUACUGCAUAAAAUAGUAUUCAGUGUCACUUUAUUUGCAGUUCUGGCUCCCUUUUCUGGAGCUGGACCUCUGAGAUACAUCCUGUGGGUUUAGUCAGCUAUAAUGUUAAUUCCUCAGCUCUGUAAAGGGUCAAACAAAAGUGCUUCCUCUUAGGUGUGUAAUGUACCAAUACCAGAUUUUGGAAAACAUAUGUCAGCAUAACACUACUGGCUUUGUUUAUGCUGCAGCAAUUUCUCCUUAUUGUUUGUUUUCAAAGGUGCAGAAGCUAACAUAAAUACCAUCAACACAGUGUGUAUAAGCAUAUGCAUACAGAAGGAACUGAAUUGUGCUUAAGGUACUCUAAAUGAGAGUCUGGGGCUGAAUUCUGCUGCCUUCAGUGUUUCAGACUGGCUGGCUGAUGCUGUGCCAUUUGUUUAACUUUGCUAUCAUGUUUUCCUGUUUGCUGUGUGAAGAAAAUGCCUUGGGGCCGAUUAAUUGAUACUAAAAAUACAUACUACUAUUCAGUCUUAUUCUACAGAUGUCAUAUGUACAAACCUUUCUUUGUACUUGCUUAUACACUAGAUUGAUAUGAUUAGGGGCAUUUUCAAAUCUUCAGUUGUCAGCACUGAAAUGUGUGGUAGGACAGUGGAUUUAGAUUUUACUAACAAAGGUAUUGAGGAGCGGAAAGAAGUUGAACUUUGUGUAUACUGCAGGAUGAAAAGUAUACAUACAAAAUGGCAGAGAAACCCAUCCCAACAACUGGAAAUGGUUCUGUUAUCCUUAGCCUAUUCAUCUGGUAUAGAUUGUAGCAUAAUUCUUUGAGGAGAACUCAAAGCUAACAGCAGAAAUGUUUAGAUUUUCAAGCUGUUAUGAGUGUUAAACAUAUUAGAUAUCUGAGAAGACAUUAGUUUGUGGCCUGAUAUUUAUUAUCACAAAUGAACACAUACACCCAAAAUACCAAGUGGCAAAACCGCAGAAGUUUGACAUAGGGUUAUCCCAGCUUCUGAGGAUUAGACAUCUGUAUAGCUGUUCAGCGAGGGUUGGCAUCUCAUUAGUGCAAUACUAAAACAUACUGUAAUGAAUUUUGAUUCUUUGUAGCAGCAUAAUGAUCUAAUCUGACAUUGCUUUCUUUCUGCAGAGUUCAGUUACUUUGUGUGGAAAAAUUACAUCAGCACUCUUAAAUCUACAGUCAUUCCUUAGUUUGAUAUCACCAGUCUCUGAGAUAGAACUUUUGGAAAAUAAUCUAGUUUUUCUUAUGAACUGUGACAUACUGAGAGGAUCAUUAAAAUUUUCAGAAAACUUUCAGAAUAAUUCUGUAAUAAGUGAGUGUUUUACUUGUGCUUUUUUGAAGUAAUGUUUUGAUCAAGGCACUGAAGUGUCAGUUGUGUAUUUAAGAAAAAUGUGGAAUAUAUCAAUAUUGCUAAAAAUAUUUUGAGUUUCCAUUUCACUUAGAGCACAUCGCAGUACUUUUUGCCUAUAAGUUGAGAGUAUUUUUUUGCCUUUUAAGAAGCAUAAUACUCGGGUUUUUAUGUAUAUUGGAUAGGUUUUUUAAAUUUUGAUACUAUAUCUUGCUUUUGCCUUGUCCGUUGGUAGUGCCAUAUGCAGAGAAACUCCUAGAAUAACUUAAAUUCGUAAUUUCCUCCAAAAGAGAAAUUAGCUCAAGACUCUUAAUGGCAGCUAUGCGUGGUAUAUUUUAAUUUUAGGCCUCUGGUGAACAAUACAUUUCACAAGUUUUGUUUUAAUUGACUAGCAAUGCAAAAGAAGAGCUAAGCCCUGCUUGGCCCAUACACCUUCCAGUCAUCUCUCUCAGCUGUGGAAUCGGCUGCCCUACACCUUUUUUUCGGUAAUGUUCUUUUCAAUAACACCAAGAACAAUUUUCAGUGGCUUUUCCCAGCCAUCAGAGUGCUCAGUCUGUUUUGCCUGCUCCCAUGAAUAUCUCUGCUUAAGCAAAGCUCUGCCACUGCCCUUCAUUCCAGAGAGCAUGAAUCAUCUCAACUUUGUAUAUUUCUGUACCUAUCUAUAUAAAGGCAAUAAGGAUGGGGUGGUUCCAGUUUUGUUAGGCUUCAAGCCAACUACAGGGUAUGUAGACUUUAAUAUUCUAUGGAUUGCAUGCAAAGAAACGAAGUUGUGUUUUCCUUUUUUUUUUUUUUCUUUAUAGAAGGCACAGGGUUCAGCUCUUCCCAUGUCUCUCAACCUCUGGUCUAAUUUCUCUUCAUGUUAAUUGUGCUGACUUCUCUUCAGCAAGAGAAUCAUAAGUUGGCCUAUGAAAAAAAGAUAAAAAAAGACCACUUUCUCACUGCUUUUCGUCAGCCUGCUGUUAGGGAAACAUGUAGGGAGCAGUGGUGGAAUAUCCUUGUUGUGCCUGAUGCUACUGCUCCACAGCAUCUUUCUUCCCUGCUAAAACACGGAGGGAAGAGCUCCCACUUCUGCAGCUGUGAGGCAUGUUCUCCUGGGUUCACAAGUUAAGCAGAAUAAAAGAGUUGGAAGCUGCUGCCUGGGGCCCCUACUGCUUACUAGUGGAGAUAGGGCUUUCUUGUGUAUUUUUUUUGAAAGAGAAAUGAAUUGUUUGGAGGUCAUAAAAGUGUUUUGACUAUCUGAUGAUUCCAGAAGAAGGUGGUCUGUAAAGCUGCAUCUGUUCAGAGCUGGCUCAGUAGCUGUCUCCAGGGAGGAAGGCAGAAGUCAUCUGGCACGCAACACACUGCACAACUUAAAAUGACAAAAUCCUCAUUCUUAUGAAAUGAGUCCUGGCAUAGUUAAUAUCCACACAGAGCAGUCAUCAAUGUUGUUCACUUCCAGCCCCUGCAAAUUGCUCAAUGAUUUCUUCAAUACUUGCUGAGGUAAGGAAUAAGAGAGCCAGGAGAAGGCCUGAAGUAGUGAAGACUCUUGGGAUCUUGUUAAACAGAUAGGAUCCUAGUGCUAAAUAAGAUAUUAAACUUAGACUGUAGGACCUCAGUGACAAGACACUGGAGACCGGACAAGUUCUUGGUUAACACAUGGUAGAAGACUUGAUUUCAUUUACUGUUAUUCCAAAGCAGUGGCUUUUAACCUCUUGUCAGUAUGUAAACCUCAAGGUUUCCCCUCUGUAGAUGAUCUAGCAGAUAAGGGCUUUUCCUUAAAUGUUCUUUUUCAGACUGAUAGGGAUGGCUGAUAUUUCUUAGACAAAACAUUUUGUUUUCAAAUACAUCUUUUUAAUUGCUUUUCUGUCUUAAGGGAAAUGUUGAAAUAGAACUCCAGUCAAACUGAAUAGCUUCAACACCAAAAAUGCUUCUGUUUGUGUAAUGCUUCAUCCUUUGAAAUUAUUUCCUACUGUUUAAAUCCCUCUGUUUAAUCUGUUGGAUAUCAAAUCAUAAAAUGAACUAGGACGCUUCCAUCAAGCCUUCAGAUAUGACCUGAUGAGCAUAAAUGGCUUCCAAGAGACUAUGGAAGAUUGAGUCACCAAGCUCAGACCAUCUCACUGGAAGGGUGUAGUUUGAUCUGCCACUCAAGAGAGCCAUUAGGAAAAACAUGAUUUAUCAAGCCGUAUUAGCUUAUUGGAGCUUUUCUUCUGUGCACACUGUACCAGCAGCUUGUGAAAAAGAUGGUACCAAAGCCAUUUGGGUUUUGUACCUGCAGGACAUAACUUAAAAUAUUGCAUUAAUGGUUGGUCUGUUUUUGAAGUUCCUGCAAAUUAAUCUUGCUCUGUAUUGUAAUCUUUUUAAAUCAUCUGCAGUGAAAUCUGGGUGCUUAUUCUAACUCGAGUUACAUAAUUUUCAUUUGUUGAAUAAACUCCUGUAGAUGCUCUUAGGAAUACAAUAUUUCUACAUAUAGUUUGUGUGUUACUUACUGAGGUAUAACCCGAAUCAGCACUGGGCAGUUCAGAAAUAGAAGGCAACAGCUGUAAUACUGAGAAAGAGAUGCAGGUCAGGAGUUCAAACUCUGAGAUUAAAAGGAUGACUUUAGUGUCUUUACUUUGUCAUGCUUGCUAUAAGUAGAUAUCAAGACCCUCUGGUAUAUAAACCACCACACGUGUAUUUCUCCUUUUUUAAAAAAUAUUUUUAUUUUUAGUAAGUCAAUCUGAUAAUACUCCUCUGCUGAUAUUUAAGUCUUACUGACUUUAGUGGAAACAGGAUUUCCUGUGGUGAUUAAAACCACAGGUGCUUAGGAUUAAGGAAGGCCCUUUUUUGGGUGGCACAUAGACUAAAACCUCAAUGAUGCAGAGAACAGAUUAGUGUGGCAUCCUCAGGGCUGACGAGCAGAUUUGGAAGAGCACGUGAGGGGAUCAAACUCUUGAGAGGUGUGUCCAUAGGGGAACUACUCUGGCAUUCACAACAUUUUUAUCAAGACUUCAAUCUUAACUUUAAAGAUGGGAACUGGCUGUUGGAAGCAGAAACUGUUUGGAAUGCAGUACUCGUCUGUGCAGCCUCUACAGAAAACACAUAUAUUUUUAGGAUAGGCGGUUUAGACCAUUGAUCGUUGCCUUGCUUCCCUAGACUCUCUAAUGUCUAUCUGUGCUUUUUGAAGAGAGAGGGCAAUUUUGUUACAGGGAAACUAUUUGCUGCCUUGCCAAAUCCAAGAUGUGAAUAAUAACCCUAGCACUGAAAUACAGACUGCUGGUCACGUUCCUUUCUGUUCCUUUUCCCCCCUCUUAUCCAUAAGACUUUUUUCUUUGAGGGGGAAGUUAUUCUAAUGGACAGGUAUAGUGUCUUAGCCCUCCUGAACAUUCCGCUUUCCUUCAAAGUCAUUCUGGCUUCAGGUGUCUUGGGAUCAGGAUCCUGUCUUCGGUUCUUUUUUUUUUUUUUUCUGCUGUAAUUGCAUUCUAGAUAUCUUUAAGGAAUGGUUUUAAACACACACACUAUACACUGCCGUGUGAACGUUACAGCUUGCUGUAAUACUGCAUUCUCACUUAAUAGUGGAGGUGGUGCCAUUUCAAAAGAUCGCAGAGGUGACACCUGAAUGGCUCUUUUGGUCCACAUCCCAUUGAGUACUCUCUUGUGAUUGUUUUCACUUAAGUUAUUGAACCUAUUUGUAGGAAUGAGAACUUUUAUUGUUUUGUUUAUUUGCAUGUAUGUGUGUGUGUGUUUAAAAACUAUAUUUAUAAAAAAGAUAAAAGUAUGUCUAUAUCUAUAAAUAUAUGUAGUAGAUAUAAAAAUAAAUUUCUGAUUCCUACUAUAUAUGAUACGUAUUCAUUCCUAUAUGUAAAAUCUAUAAAAAAAAUAAAAGUUCUUGUUCCUACAAAUAGGUUCUAUAUACAUAUCAGAAACAGACCUUUCAUUUGCAAGUUGACAAGUAGUUACAUAUGUGUAUGUAUAUAUGGAUAGCAGCCUUGCAUGUCAAACCGCAUGUUCUAUAAAGUAGCCUUUAUCUUCUGGAACAUGAGCGUUGCAGGAGUGGGCUGUGGAUGUGUGAAAUGCAAUCCUAGGGGCAGUGGGGCUGUGCUUGUAUUAGUAAGGUCAGCAGGAUUUGCUCUCAAAUUCAUCCAGGCAUUACUGCGCACACUAAUGAAAUGUGCAGCACAGAAGUAUGGACUUCUGCUUCACUAAGGAUAAUAAACACUAGAAUCUAAGGUUUUAUUAUGGUAUAUAUUACAAUUUUCCGUUAUUUGUCAUCUCCUCUUUGCCUCACCUUUAUUAGGUGCCACCUCAGCUCUACGAGUUGAACCUUCAUAUGUGUAUUUUUAUAAAAAGGAGAAUUCAAAAGCUUUUUCCCUCGCACCCCGCAUCAGAAUAAGUGAGAUUCUACACAACCGCAGUUAUGGCUGUAGAUUUCUGUGUGUGCCACAAAGAAUUAAUUGUGCAAUCAUCCUACACUCGUCAUCCAUGUGAGAGUUUACAAAAGUCACCUCUUAACUUUUUUAAAAGUUAUUCGUCUUCCAACAAUGUUCUUUAGUUUAUGAAAUGUGGCCAGCCACCUUACUUAAUGACCUGGUCGUCAGCAGUUUUAGAAAGAUUAUUGCUUUUGUAUUUCGCACAGCACAUUUGCGUAUAACCAAAACAAUCUAAAAAGAAACCACAAAUUGUAAAAUCCUGACCACAUAAUUUUUAAGUUAAUAGGAAACAUGAAACCUUUACAUUUAGUGAAGUAACUUUCCAGGUGUCUCUGUUUUUCUAAUAAACAGUUACUGUUUAUUAAAAAAAAUCAAUAUAUAAAAAGACAGUAUUGUAUUGAAUUAAAAGUUCCAAAACAGAUAAGUUCUGUUCUUUCCCUGUAUGCACAAUUUUUGACUUACAAAGCUUACACUGACAGCAGCCCCACUGGGUAAGUAUUCCAUAAAGGCACAGGUAAGUGCGAGAUGAUUUAAACUUUAGUGUCUGAUAAUCCCAGCCAGCUUUUGAAACUAACAGGUAAUCAUUAAAUACAAACGAAUUUUGAAUGAAUAAAAAAUAAAAAUAGUUUCAGGCCAAAAUACAAAGCCAUAAUUAGGAUGAUUUUGACAAUAUAUUAUGCCUGAAAAUUAAAGGUAGAAUGUAGGAGCUGGAUUACUUGCACAGAAAAGCAUGCAGUUAUUGAAUUUUGAUGAUAUUACCCUUUAUACAGCUUUGUAGUGUGCGCACAGUUUGGCUCUGUCGUUUCUCACAAUUUUUGAUUGCUUUUUUUGUGUGUUGCUGACUUUAGCAAGAUUGAAAUGGCACCUGUUCAGAAUCUAGUUUGCAGGACUUUAUGGGAAAAAAAAAAAAAUUAAAUGUGCAAGGGAGAGAUUUUAGAAAUAAAAUCAGGUACAUCAUGAUGUAUAUGUUUCAGCUAUUUUCCAUUUACUGAAUGAAAAGUUGGUGUUUAUGAAUAUCAAUAUGUAUUUUGAAUGAUUUGGCUAGCAGGUAGGUGUCCCUUCCUGGAGCGAACUGGAACAGCUCGGGCACGGUGAUGGGCCUUCUGCAUCUGCUGCGGAUUUAGCUCAAGUGGCCAGGGCUUUCAGAAAGGAAAAGUCCAUCUCUGCUGCUCCAGGAAGUUCUGCCUGGCAAAAACACCACCAUGGUAAUAACAGAAAGAUUUAGGGCACCGAGCUUUGUUGCAGUGGUGAGGCAAGACAGAGAUGUGCACCCAGGAAAGCCUGACACUGUGUCACACUGAAAGUGUCAGAAAAGAAGCAAAUGAAUUGUCUUGAAUGAGAACAAACCCAAGAUUUAUUUUAAUUUUUUCCUGGUCUGUCUGAAAACCUCUAAGGAAACAUUGCCAGAUCAGAAGGAAUCUCAGUAACUUUCAGAAUCUAGUUGGACUGGUUUGCUAUCAGCCUGGCUGAUCCUCUGUCAGCUUACAUGGAGGACUCCUCUGGAUCUUGGACCUCCAGCACCUGCAGCUGUGUGGGCAGCCAGGCACGGGACACACGGGCUUUUGAUAGCCGUCAGUAAGCUAUCUCUAAGGCUUCAGGUUGUGUGAAAGUAACUGCAAAAUUUGGGUGUUUUGUUUUGGGUUUUUUUUUUCCUCCAAGUUGGAAUUGGAAAAAAACUUGAAAGAAUUGAAACUUUGUGAUCUGGCAGGGCUGUAGCUGUGGUGGUCUCCUGAGGGAUGGUGGGAAGGAAGGUGUGGGGCACUGUCCCCAUGGCUGUUCUAACCCACCAGAGGCAAGCGAUGGGCAGUGCAUUUACAACAGCCAAGUGUUACAAGGCCAUAGAUGCUGUGUAAGGAAUUUCUCCAUGGUUUCAGCUGUAGUUUUGGAGGAAACCAUCUAAUAAUCUCUAUCUUUAGAAGUAUUUGUGGUUGAAGUGCCUUGUGCAACAGCUGAUUCCUCAGCUGGUUAGCAGCGGCAGCAGAGCUGCAAGGUCGAACAGCUUGAGGAACUGCCCCCUUGGUUUUGUACAGGUGUGUUGCAGGAGUGAAACCAGCUGAGUCUACAUGUUGAGCUUGCUUGUUUGUUUGACUAAUUUUGGAAACAGUACCAUUCCUAACACUGCAGCUGUGUUUUUGAGGUCAGAAGGAGCAGGACGUUGACAUGUACAGCAGUGAAAGUGUGAUGUUGUGGCAGAGAUGUUUAAUCUGGCCUUGCAGAAAUUCAUAGAUAUAAGUGGAAAGCACCGUGUACUCUUGCAUCAAGAGGCUGUAGUCUUGCUUGUGUCUGCAGUGCUGUACGUACCCACAUACUUUUAAAGAAUGAAGAGUAAGUUUACUUUCAGAGUCUGUGUGUGUCCACGUGUCUGUAAAUAAUAUAUUUUCUUAGCUCCUUCAUGUCUUGAAGAAUCUCAUCUUUUCUAGUACCCACACUAGGUUAGUUGGCCACGCUGGUGCAGGAUUCCCCUACAGCAGAGUCCUGCCAACGCAAGCAGCGUGCAGCAGCUCUGUGCUGGGAAGGGAAAAAACCUCACUUUUGAUUUGGGGGCUGCCAUUUUUGAGUUUAAACGUGGUUCCUGAAACAUGGUCAGCUGGAGAAAGUUUUUGGUGGUGUUUGGCUUGUUUAUGUCUCACAUGAUUCUCAUUGUGCUUUCAGAUAGAUCCCAGUAAUCCCAUCUCACCUCUGUUAUGCGUGGUUACCUAUAAUACCCUGGACAAUGGCCUAGCUGUGCUUCUGAAUGCCUGUGGCUCUUCAAGUACCUCUUCCAUGUGCUUUUGCAUCUCUGGAGAC